Molecule: regulatory RNA element, 78 nt
Organism: Bacillus sp. FJAT-18017
Lineage: Bacteria; Bacillati; Bacillota; Bacilli; Caryophanales; Bacillaceae
Source: Rfam
CCCGUGCUACAACCGCUCAGAACAGGUUUUCAAGAUUUGCGGGAGCAAACGCCUGGGUUGGCGAGUCUUAGACUAAGA